UAUAUUUAUAAUGGAUCGGAGCGG
RNAcentral lists this non-coding RNA (24 nucleotides) under Arabidopsis thaliana (thale cress). Lineage: Eukaryota; Viridiplantae; Streptophyta; Magnoliopsida; Brassicales; Brassicaceae. The record is from RNAcentral.